GCUGGAAUUCAGACAGAGAGGUUCUGUGUCAAGGAGUCUCCCUGAAGAAAUCAUCUUUGAAGCUGCCUGACUUGGAUUAUCCUCAAGUAAAGGUUGAGUGUGAGUUUCCCUUUCACACUGGUGGACAUAUGUGAGUAGGGCGUGAACUUCCUCCCUUCCUGGAUCUUGUAAGAACCCUUAAUCUGGAUUCUUCAGUCUGACCCUACCAAGGACUCUGGAGUUUGUGAGAAUCUGGGCCCCUUUUGGACUUUAUCUUUUAUUUACCUUUUAGUGAGUGAGAUUAAGCUUAGAUUAGAAACCUUAGUAUGUUAAACUCUGGGUGGUUAGAAAUCAGUCACCCCCUGACUCCCCUUAUUCCUGCUUGGUUUAAUAAACCCCUUUUUAAUAUAUUUUACUUGUGUGAUUCCCCCCUAAAAAUCUCCUUAUUACAAUAGCACCCAGCAUACCUCAGCCACAGGCAGUACUGUCAGCUUCCACUCAACACCACCUAUGCUCCUCCAGUGAGGCCCCCUCAGCAGACCUGGGUUACAGAAAUAAUGACUAAAACAAGAACAUAUAUUCAGAAUUAAUUUUGACAGCAAUGCAUAAGCACAGCUCUCCUCUUUCCUGGUCUCAGGGAAGGGUGCUGAAAGGUCCCUUCAGAAGGAGAUGACAUCUUGUUGAUUCCCCCUUCAUCUGGCCCAUCACCUGGGAAAUAAGCUAAGAACAAGAAAGAACAAUGAAGGACACAGAAUUGAUUACUUAAUCAGAGGGAGCUAGUAUGGAACAGAGAAAAAGACUUUCCCUUAUAACGAAGAAGUUAAGAAAAGCAACCAAAGUAUCAACCACAAAUUACAGUGAAUGCAACAUUCCCCAACCACAGUCUCUCACAUCUCCAAUGAAAAGAAGAAGAAGCAUUCAGAAUGUCAACAAAACAACUUCAACUAUUUUUUUGCAAUUACAUAAUGGUAUUCAACUAACAGAACAACAAUUAUUUCAAAUACUGCGUCAAAGACAACUGAAGAUGAAAAUGAACUACAUCCCCAUAUAUAACUAA
RNAcentral lists this long non-coding RNA (1036 nucleotides) under Monodelphis domestica (gray short-tailed opossum). RNAcentral's name for it is "lncRNA (ENSMODG00000035099.2)". The record is from RNAcentral. Lineage: Eukaryota; Metazoa; Chordata; Mammalia; Didelphimorphia; Didelphidae.